GGUUAAGCGACUAAGCGUACACGGUGGAUGCCCUGGCAGUCAGAGGCGAUGAAGGACGUGCUAAUCUGCGAUAAGCGUCGGUAAGGUGAUAUGAACCGUUAUAACCGGCGAUUUCCGAAUGGGGAAACCCAGUGUGAUUCGUCACACUAUCAUUAACUGAAUCCAUAGGUUAAUGAGGCGAACCGGGGGAACUGAAACAUCUAAGUACCCCGAGGAAAAGAAAUCAACCGAGAUUCCCCCAGUAGCGGCGAGCGAACGGGGAGGAGCCCAGAGCCUGAAUCAGUGUGUGUGUUAGUGGAAGCGUCUGGAAAGGCGCGCGAUACAGGGUGACAGCCCCGUACACAAAAAUGCACAUACUGUGAGCUCGAUGAGUAGGGCGGGACACGUGGUAUCCUGUCUGAAUAUGGGGGGACCAUCCUCCAAGGCUAAAUACUCCUGACUGACCGAUAGUGAACCAGUACCGUGAGGGAAAGGCGAAAAGAACCCCGGCGAGGGGAGUGAAAAAGAACCUGAAACCGUGUACGUACAAGCAGUGGGAGCCUCUUUAUGGGGUGACUGCGUACCUUUUGUAUAAUGGGUCAGCGACUUAUAUUCUGUAGCAAGGUUAACCGAAUAGGGGAGCCGAAGGGAAACCGAGUCUUAACUGGGCGUUAAGUUGCAGGGUAUAGACCCGAAACCCGGUGAUCUAGCCAUGGGCAGGUUGAAGGUUGGGUAACACUAACUGGAGGACCGAACCGACUAAUGUUGAAAAAUUAGCGGAUGACUUGUGGCUGGGGGUGAAAGGCCAAUCAAACCGGGAGAUAGCUGGUUCUCCCCGAAAGCUAUUUAGGUAGCGCCUCGUGAAUUCAUCUCCGGGGGUAGAGCACUGUUUCGGCAAGGGGGUCAUCCCGACUUACCAACCCGAUGCAAACUGCGAAUACCGGAGAAUGUUAUCACGGGAGACACACGGCGGGUGCUAACGUCCGUCGUGAAGAGGGAAACAACCCAGACCGCCAGCUAAGGUCCCAAAGUCAUGGUUAAGUGGGAAACGAUGUGGGAAGGCCCAGACAGCCAGGAUGUUGGCUUAGAAGCAGCCAUCAUUUAAAGAAAGCGUAAUAGCUCACUGGUCGAGUCGGCCUGCGCGGAAGAUGUAACGGGGCUAAACCAUGCACCGAAGCUGCGGCAGCGACACUGUGUGUUGUUGGGUAGGGGAGCGUUCUGUAAGCCUGUGAAGGUGUGCUGUGAGGCAUGCUGGAGGUAUCAGAAGUGCGAAUGCUGACAUAAGUAACGAUAAAGCGGGUGAAAAGCCCGCUCGCCGGAAGACCAAGGGUUCCUGUCCAACGUUAAUCGGGGCAGGGUGAGUCGACCCCUAAGGCGAGGCCGAAAGGCGUAGUCGAUGGGAAACAGGUUAAUAUUCCUGUACUUGGUGUUACUGCGAAGGGGGGACGGAGAAGGCUAUGUUGGCCGGGCGACGGUUGUCCCGGUUUAAGCGUGUAGGCUGGUUUUCCAGGCAAAUCCGGAAAAUCAAGGCUGAGGCGUGAUGACGAGGCACUACGGUGCUGAAGUGACAAAUGCCCUGCUUCCAGGAAAAGCCUCUAAGCAUCAGGUAACAACAAAUCGUACCCCAAACCGACACAGGUGGUCAGGUAGAGAAUACCAAGGCGCUUGAGAGAACUCGGGUGAAGGAACUAGGCAAAAUGGUGCCGUAACUUCGGGAGAAGGCACGCUGAUAUGUAGGUGAAGCGACUUGCUCGUGGAGCUGAAAUCAGUCGAAGAUACCAGCUGGCUGCAACUGUUUAUUAAAAACACAGCACUGUGCAAACACGAAAGUGGACGUAUACGGUGUGACGCCUGCCCGGUGCCGGAAGGUUAAUUGAUGGGGUUAGCGGUAACGCGAAGCUCUUGAUCGAAGCCCCGGUAAACGGCGGCCGUAACUAUAACGGUCCUAAGGUAGCGAAAUUCCUUGUCGGGUAAGUUCCGACCUGCACGAAUGGCGUAAUGAUGGCCAGGCUGUCUCCACCCGAGACUCAGUGAAAUUGAACUCGCUGUGAAGAUGCAGUGUACCCGCGGCAAGACGGAAAGACCCCGUGAACCUUUACUAUAGCUUGACACUGAACAUUGAGCCUUGAUGUGUAGGAUAGGUGGGAGGCUUAGAAGUGUGGACGCCAGUCUGCAUGGAGCCGACCUUGAAAUACCACCCUUUAAUGUUUGAUGUUCUAACGUUGGCCCCUUAUCGGGGUUGCGGACAGUGUCUGGUGGGUAGUUUGACUGGGGCGGUCUCCUCCUAAAGAGUAACGGAGGAGCACGAAGGUUGGCUAAUCCUGGUCGGACAUCAGGAGGUUAGUGCAAUGGCAUAAGCCAGCUUGACUGCGAGCGUGACGGCGCGAGCAGGUGCGAAAGCAGGUCAUAGUGAUCCGGUGGUUCUGAAUGGAAGGGCCAUCGCUCAACGGAUAAAAGGUACUCCGGGGAUAACAGGCUGAUACCGCCCAAGAGUUCAUAUCGACGGCGGUGUUUGGCACCUCGAUGUCGGCUCAUCACAUCCUGGGGCUGAAGUAGGUCCCAAGGGUAUGGCUGUUCGCCAUUUAAAGUGGUACGCGAGCUGGGUUUAGAACGUCGUGAGACAGUUCGGUCCCUAUCUGCCGUGGGCGCUGGAGAACUGAGGGGGGCUGCUCCUAGUACGAGAGGACCGGAGUGGACGCAUCACUGGUGUUCGGGUUGUCAUGCCAAUGGCACUGCCCGGUAGCUAAAUGCGGAAGAGAUAAGUGCUGAAAGCAUCUAAGCACGAAACUUGCCCCGAGAUGAGUUCUCCCUGACCCUUUAAGGGUCCUGAAGGAACGUUGAAGACGACGACGUUGAUAGGCCGGGUGUGUAAGCGCAGCGAUGCGUUGAGCUAACCGGUACUAAUGAACCGUGAGGCUUAACCUU
RNAcentral lists this ribosomal RNA (2904 nucleotides) under Escherichia fergusonii. RNAcentral's name for it is "23S ribosomal RNA". It matches the Rfam family "Bacterial large subunit ribosomal RNA". Lineage: Bacteria; Pseudomonadati; Pseudomonadota; Gammaproteobacteria; Enterobacterales; Enterobacteriaceae. RNAcentral also lists the same sequence under 1 other name. The record is from RNAcentral.